RNAcentral lists this ribosomal RNA (490 nucleotides) under uncultured Acaulospora. RNAcentral's name for it is "SSU rRNA". It matches the Rfam family "Eukaryotic small subunit ribosomal RNA", at positions 569 to 1063 of the family's 1831-position model. Lineage: Eukaryota; Fungi; Glomeromycota; Glomeromycetes; Diversisporales; Acaulosporaceae. The record is from RNAcentral.
AGCAGCCGCGGUAAUUCCAGCUCCAAUAGCGUAUAUUAAAGUUGUUGCAGUUAAAAAGCUCGUAGUUGAAUUUCGGAAUUUGUCGGUUGGUCGGGCUUCACUGUCCGCACUGACCUGAUGGAUUCCUACCUUCUGAAUAACCAGCAUGCUAUUAAGUUAGUGCGUUGGGGAAGCAGAGCUAUUACCUUGAAAAAUUAGAGUGCUUAAAGCAGGCUUGUGCUUGAAUAGAUUAGCAUGGAAUAAUAAAAUAGGACGGCAUGGUUCUAUUUUGUUGGUUUCUAGGAUCACCGUAAUGAUUAAUAGGGAUAGUUGGGGGCAUUAGUAUUCAAUUGUCAGAGGUGAAAUUCUUGGAUUUAUUGAAGACUAACUUCUGCGAAAGCAUUUGCCAAGGAUGUUUUCAUUAAUCAAGAACGAAAGUUAGGGGAUCGAAGACGAUCAGAUACCGUCGUAGUCUUAACCAUAAACUAUGCGACUAGGGAUCGGACGAUGU